This 253-nucleotide ribosomal RNA is filed under the name uncultured bacterium. RNAcentral's name for it is "partial 16S ribosomal RNA". It matches the Rfam family "Bacterial small subunit ribosomal RNA", at positions 524 to 776 of the family's 1533-position model. The record is from RNAcentral.
UACGAAGGGGGCUAGCGUUGCUCGGAUUUACUGGGCGUAAAGCGCACGUAGGCGGAUUGUUAAGUGAGGGGUGAAAUCCCAGGGCUCAACCCUGGAACUGCCUUUCAUACUGGCAAUCUCGAGUCCGGAAGAGGUGAGUGGAACUCCUAGUGUAGAGGUGGAAUUCGUAGAUAUUAGGAAGAACACCAGUGGCGAAGGCGGCUCACUGGACCGGUACUGACGCUGAGGUGCGAAAGCGUGGGGAGCAAACAGG